Long non-coding RNA from Hylaeus anthracinus, 4046 nucleotides. RefSeq lists it as uncharacterized. NCBI's taxonomy places the organism in Eukaryota, Metazoa, Arthropoda, Insecta, Hymenoptera, Colletidae. The transcript has 6 exons. The record is from RefSeq and is a predicted model, not a curated record.
GAAAGGUAUGCGCCCUUAUACAGAAUGAAAUAACAACCUUAUUACACCAAUUGUGAAUGCAUAAAAUCCGCAGUCUACUCAUUUCCAUGUUAAUGAUAAAUGGUUAUCCUUUAACGGUUCUUUCUAAUGGUGGGACAUUUCCAUUCACAGCCAAGCCUGCGUCCUGAUUAGAAUGUGAGUGCGCUGCAAAGAAAACAACAACAAUAGAUUAAGCACAACAAAUUAUUAGAGUUUUCAAAUAUUAACAUAAUCUUCGCUAUUUGAAAAAUCGUGGCGUACGAAUAUACCUCUUCUUAAAAUUUAGGGGAAAAUUUAGGGAAUUUAAAAAAUGUUGAGAGGCACUGGCUUACGGUAAGUCGCGAAAUUGGGAAUCCGACUCGAUAUCGAGAGUGGUUGAGACGAUCGGCACGAUUCCAAAAAGCAGGCAAUCCCCGAUAAUCUCGAAAUAACGAGAACCUCGUCCCCUCUCUUGCAGCAUCCGCGAAGACGCGUCGCGGUUCUGUUUUCCGUCUUCGUCGCGCGAACGACGCGACAGUCGUCCCCUCUCCUUCUCACCCACGGCUACACGAUCGCCGAUAUUUUUGGUCGUGGCGCGACGAAGACGCGAAGAUAGUCGCGCGCGUGCGAGCAAAGGAGACGGUCGCUCGACGGUAGUCGAAGGAAAAAGGACAGUCGAGAAUCGAGAAGGAGAAAGGAUACGCGGGUGCACGAGAAAGAAAAGGAUGGGACGACGAAACAAGGAGAGCGAGAGCAUCAUCGUGAAAACGGUUAGCGCCGUCGGCGUAACCUGAGAGCUUCUCGGACCCCGCGACCAUAUAUGUCCGCCUCUCGCUCUCUCUCACUCGCGCCGAUCGCAAGCACAUCGCGCCAUCUUGCUUUCACCUACAGUUGGAAACUAAUCUUUUUGGCGGUCUCCUCGUUCGCUUUUUUUUUCAUCACGACGCCCUAUACGAUCCACCUCGACGCUGUUAAUUUACUGGGAAAUGAGUCAAAAUUCUGUCUGCCCCUGCUUCACGCCAAUCUCUACCAUUCUAAAGGAUUUAUAAACGAAAUGUUGUUGUAAAUCGUACAUCAACUUUGAUAAUCCAUAAAGGAACAACAUAUUUGAUGUAGUAAUAGCAGCGUAAAGAAUCUGAAACAGGCAUCGCAAACGAACAAGGUUAAGUAACAUUCGAAUCGAAUUUUAGAAUGAAUAAUCAGCACGUUAUCUCAAACCACCUGAUGUUGAAGGUUAAACCGUUUAAAUUAAUUUAUGUUUCGAUUUUUGUAUGAACUCUGUUCUCGAUCGAUAAAUUAGGGACGACUAAAUACUGCUAUGCGGCGCCACUUACUUAAUGGCGGAGUUGUAGUUCCUGUUCUCACCGUAAGAACUGUUCCUAACCGACUCUACUUUAAAAAUUCUCGCGAAAUAAAUAUAAACCCGAGGACUCUCUCCACCUUAUAUUCAACUAUACAAAACUAUAGAAGUCUAAACCGAGGACGACAGGAAUUUCCCUCAACCUAAAAAAAGAACUUCGUUCAUCCGACCUGUUGAAUGCUUGAGCAUACUUCGUCAUACUGGCUCCUGUUUAACGAGGUGACGAGAAAUAAAGGCAACAAACACGAGGUACACGAUGCAUUGGCCGGCCCGAUUCCUUCCAGGAGGGGGAUCCCCGUUAUCUGCAUACGUAUUCAGCCGUGGACGCGACAGUGUCUUUUUGGCACGCUUUCUUCGAAAAAACGCUUCAACCCGAAGACACGGAAAUCGAAUAAGAGCGGAUAACGGACUUUUAAGAAUUCUUACAAAGUUUACUCUUUAGGAACGAUGGGAAGGUGCUGAAAAUUUACUGGAGUCAUGGAGGUAUUCCUUUGUUUAAAAUAUAUGGAGGGCGCAACUUUGCUUAACACGUUGUUCGCCACGUCGCCCAUAUAUGAGUGACAGAGCUUUUCACUGAAGAGCUCAAAAAAUUGAUUCCAAAAGUUUCCAGUAGUCUGUAAACAAAAUUUAAACACAGUAGCAAUUUUCAAGAGUAUCAGUCUGGCAAUCAACGUGUUAAUGGACAAAUCGAAACCUCCGUAAGGCUUUCGUGACUCAGGAAGGUCCUAUCUCGUUUUGAUGAAGUCCAAGCUCAAGUACUACGUAUGUAACCAUUCGUUCACGCUGUUUCCUAAUACUUUGAGGAACAUUCCAGCAGUCGAACAACGACAUUUCGUGCGUACGUACUAACGUAACGCCAACAAAAAAAUCACGAAAGAUCGUUUGCACGUUCCGCUUCAAGCAAACAGUUUUCCCUCUCGUUCUUGCCGGCGCUGUGCAUGCCGUACGCAGUUGAUAGAUUGCGCAAUAGAAAACGGUGGCAGGAAAUUGACUAUCCUGUAGAGAGGCGAUCAAUUAUACACCGGCACGUGUGAUCGAGCACACGCCUAGGAUAUCCAGCAUUUUUUUUUUAAAGGUACCAAGGAUUACUUCAUUUCAAUGUUCUUAAUUAACGCUCAAGGAACCGAACGUGGAGAUCUCUUUCGCGUCGCAUAGCUCAACCGACCAUUCCGUUCACGAAUCCUGUGUGGCGAGGUCUGCUCAGGCGUAACUCGGUCGAUUGCCCAAGUCUUAUCUCAAACUCGGCGACGUCUAAAGGUGUUUCUAACAAUCCUCGUCAAAUUAGGUUGUCUCGAAAAACUGCGCACAUUAACGAAAUAAGUGAGAGAGAGUUUGAAGAUUGAAAGUUUGAGAAUGAAAUUUACAUAUGCUUUGAAGGCUUUGAAAGGUUCGAUGGUUUUUAAUUUAUCAAAUUUUUCAAUAACGCCACACGGUCGUGUAAUCUAUACACGAAAUUGCUCGUACAGCUUUCGAUAUCAUUUUAAAUUAGUCCUAUUUGCCAAUUGACGAAUGCAUCAUUAACAAAUUUAGACAUAGGAAGGGUAUUUCAGUGGUGGGAGUUAAGAACGUCGAUACGCCUUGCAGCGACUAAAUGUACAUUGAAAUUAUAAAGAAAUAAGAAUCCGUAUAGAUUACUCGUCUGUUUGAAAUACCUGAAACCUCUGUCGUCAAACAAUCUUUACGUAUUUCGUGUCGGCAUGCAGAUUUUCGUGAGUAAAUUGUAGGUAAACACGUAACGUGUGUCACGAUGCGUCUUCGACCGCGUAAGCGCGGUGCAACGUGGAGUUUACGUAACUUUGCGCCGCAAAAAUCACCGGAAAUCCGGCGAAUCGUAUCGACGGAGGACGAAUCUUCGAUCGCGAGAUAAACUCGCACGAUCGGACUCGUGGGAGCUGGCGUGCAUCAUGGAAAGACGAUUGAACGCGAAUCCCAUGAAACGCGAAUUAAGGCCAGUGACGCGCUGGUUCUACAAAAGAGGAACUUCCGACGAUUAACGCCGUAAUUGUUACAUCCGAGAAUGGUUUACGUCGCGUAUAAGAAUGCAAGCCAUUUCACCUGAUAACCGAGUUAGGGAGUCCAUUCAAGGUCUCCUUUUAUUCAAACCCCGAGUUUUGAAAACGUUACGACUGAUAUCGUAAACCAAGUAAUUUGUUAUUACUUUGGCAAACUAAGCAUUUGUAAAUUUGAGGAGGAACGAAACGAAUCUUUGCGUCACUUCUAUACCUAUCUUAUCGUUUACGAGCCCGAGGAAUGAGUCAUUCGAUGAUCGCGAUCGCUUACCUUCGACCAAAUAAUCGCGCAAGAAGUCCAUAAAUAAAAAUAUUGCUUUUUCUCGUAACUGGAGUUCUUAGAGGGUGACAAAGUGUCAUUCUGGAGGAAGCAAAAUUGUUGAAUUGCGUUUUUGACCUUGAGGAAAUGUACCCAAGCAGUUGACUUUACUUCAAGAGCUACAAUCUUUCUUGAUUCAGAUUCGUAAUUUUUAUUAAGCGAGUCAGAAAUUGCACAUCUUUUCGAUUAAUCAUUCGAAAUUGUUAUCUACAUAAGAAAUUUGUCUAGUUUUCUAUGAAACACUUUCCGAUUAAGAGAGAUAAUACUAAUUGCGAAGCUAUCAUUUAAUUUACACCUGUGAUUAGAUAAGCGAAACAAAACAAACAACAACAAUAUGCAAUGUUUCCAUGAAAAGACGAAA